Molecule: ribosomal RNA, 400 nt
Filed under: phytoplankton environmental sample
Lineage: Eukaryota
Description: partial small subunit ribosomal RNA
Rfam family: Eukaryotic small subunit ribosomal RNA
Source: RNAcentral
AGCUCCAAUAGCGUAUAUCAAUGUUGCUGCGGUUAAAAAGCUCGUAGCUGGAACUCACUAUGGAGUAUUGCGGUUCGCUACCGCGGGGACAGUACUUUCGGGGAAAUCCUCGUUUCGGUUAGCCCGCCUCCUAGUUAAACUCGGCCGUCCCGGUGAGAGUGCCCUUGACUGGGUGUUUUCGUCGGAUGGCGCGUUCACUUUGAAAAAAUUAGAGUGCUUAAAGCAGGUCCUCGAUACCUGAAUAGUGGUGCAUGGAAUGAAAGAACAGGACUUCGGUUCCGUUCUUUUUGUCGGUCUUUUCCGAACUGAAGUAAUGAUUAAAAGGAACAGACGGUGUCAUUCGUAUUGUAGCGCUAGAGGUGAAAUUCUUGGACCGCUACAAGACGACCUACUGCGAAGG